UACGGCCACACCGCCCUGAACGCGCCUGAUCCUGUCUGACCUCGGAAGCUAAGCAGGGUCGGGCCCGGUCAGUACCUGGAUGGGAGAUAGUUAGCUAAUUCUUGAUAAGCCUUUA
Molecule: ribosomal RNA, 115 nt
Filed under: Propithecus coquereli (Coquerel's sifaka)
Lineage: Eukaryota; Metazoa; Chordata; Mammalia; Primates; Indriidae
Source: RNAcentral